Molecule: ribosomal RNA, 474 nt
Filed under: uncultured bacterium
Lineage: Bacteria
Description: bacterial SSU rRNA
Rfam family: Bacterial small subunit ribosomal RNA
Source: RNAcentral
ACUCCUACGGGAGGCAGCAGUGGGGAAUAUUGCACAAUGGGCGCAAGCCUGAUGCAGCCAUGCCGCGUGUAUGAAGAAGGCCUUCGGGUUGUAAAGUACUUUACUAGCAGUGAGGAAGGUGGGUAUGUUAAUAGCAUAUUCAUUUGACGUUAGCUGCAGAAGAAGCACCGGCUAACUCCGUGCCAGCAGCCGCGGUAAUACGGAGGGUGCGAGCGUUAAUCGGAAUUACUGGGCGUAAAGCGCAUGCAGGUGGUUUGUUAAGUCAGAUGUGAAAGCCCGGGGCUCAACCUCGGAAUUGCAUUUGAAACUGGCAAACUAGAGUACUGUAGAGGGGGUAGAAUUUCAGGUGUAGCGGUGAAAUGCGUAGAGAUCUGAAGGAAUACCGGUGGCGAAGGCGGCCCCCUGGACAGAUACUGACACUCAGAUGCGAAAGCGUGGGGAGCAAACAGGAUUAGAUACCCUGGUAGGAUAGCG